RNAcentral lists this microRNA precursor (81 nucleotides) under Erinaceus europaeus (western European hedgehog). RNAcentral describes it as "mir-764 microRNA precursor family". It matches the Rfam family "mir-764 microRNA precursor family". The record is from Rfam by way of RNAcentral. Lineage: Eukaryota; Metazoa; Chordata; Mammalia; Eulipotyphla; Erinaceidae.
AAUCUAGCUGACAGGUGCUCACUUGUCCUCCUCCAUGCUUAGAUAAGGGAGGAGGCCAUAGUGGCAACUGUCACCAGGAUU